CAAAACCCAAGUUGAGUAGAAUCUUGGAUGUUUUUCUAGUGUAACCUCAUAUAGAGUAAAUUGUGUUUCCUAUGUCUUUUUAAUUUGUAUAGUCGUCCAUUUCUGGAGAAUCACCUGGAACCGGGUAUAUAUAUGGAGAUAAAUACAUAUAUUUUUACAUAGCCAUCCUGUUGUGCCUCAGUCUGGCUGGGCACAAAUCACGAGCCACUCAAACAGGAACAAACUUUAUUUCCGAACUCCCCCAAACGCCACUCAUGCGGCCUUCCAGUGACACCACACACCAAUUGGAACUCCCCCACCGGAACUCCACCAACCAACUCGAACUCUUCAGGAAUCCCCAGAGAGAUCAACCAGAACUCAACAGGAACUCCGUGAGAACUCAAAAGUCAUCAUCUUAAUGGGUCACUGGCGUAACCUCUCAACCACUACUUCUGGCAAAAUGCCAGGGGCCAUUUCAACUCAGCUGUUGAGUUAUGUAAUCCUGCUAAGUAACACUUUCUAGAAAGGUAAGAUUUACCCUUGAAGCAAUAUUAGUGCAGUUUGAUAUAUAUAUUUAUAAAGUUAUCUCCAUGGAAAGAAAAUUUGAGUAUGUCUUUUAGAUAAUAACUAUGAAGUUUGUCAUCCUCUGUCAUAUGAAAUAACUUAAUUGUACAG
RNAcentral lists this long non-coding RNA (654 nucleotides) under Marmota monax (woodchuck). Lineage: Eukaryota; Metazoa; Chordata; Mammalia; Rodentia; Sciuridae. The record is from RNAcentral.